Molecule: ribosomal RNA, 520 nt
Filed under: Atractus carrioni (Parker's ground snake)
Lineage: Eukaryota; Metazoa; Chordata; Lepidosauria; Squamata; Dipsadidae
Description: partial 16S ribosomal RNA
Rfam family: Bacterial large subunit ribosomal RNA
Source: RNAcentral
AAAAACAUAACCUUUAGCCAAACAAAUAUUAAAGGCAACGCCUGCCCAGUGAACAAUUAAACGGCCGCGGUACCCUAACCGUGCAAAGGUAGCGUAAUCACUUGUCUAUUAAUUGUAGACCCGUAUGAAAGGCAUAAUGAGGGUCUGUCUGUCUCUUAUAAUAAAUCAAUUAAACUGAUCUUCUAGUAAAAAAGCUAGAAUAUAUACACAAGACCAGAAGACCCUGUGAAGCUUAAACUAAACUAUUAAAUCUUAUAAUACUUACUUUCGGUUGGGGCGACCUUGGAAAAAAAAAGAACUUCCAAAUAUAUGACCAUAACCCACAUCCAGGCCCACAAGCCUUAUAUAGACCCAGUACAGCUGAUAAUUGAACCAAGUUACUCCAGGGAUAACAGCGCCAUCUUCUUCAAGAGUCCAUAUCAAAAAGAAGGUUUACGACCUCGAUGUUGGAUCAGGACAUCCUAAUGGUGCAGCCGCUAUUAAGGGUUCGUUUGUUCAACGAUUAAUAGUCCUACGUGAU